Molecule: long non-coding RNA, 621 nt
Organism: Haemorhous mexicanus (house finch)
Lineage: Eukaryota; Metazoa; Chordata; Aves; Passeriformes; Fringillidae
Exons: 4
Source: RefSeq, a predicted model, not a curated record
CGGAGCCGCCCCGGCCGAGGGGAGGGGAGAGCGGCGCGGGGGAGGGGACACCGCCGGGCCCGGCGCCCCCGGAGGCGGGCGGGCGGCUGCUCCGCGCUCCCCUCCUCGCGGCAGUACCUGCGCUGGAAGUCGGUCCGGAAGGGCUCCAGGCUUCUAGAGUGUUACACAGCUGCUCACAGCUGGCAGUUGCUGCUGCAGGAACAGCUGGAUUGCAACAAUCUGCAUCUCCAAGGCUUAGUCCCUGCUGAAUGUGCCAUUCCCUCAGCCCAGCCAUUUCUUCUACAAAAGGAGAGGAAGACUGGUGUUUCUAGGAGCAGAGUGGGCAUGUGUCGUAAGAGUUGCUUCUAAGUUCUGAGCUUGGCAGUCUUCCUGAUGCAGACAAGAGAUGGGACUUGCUUUGUAAGUCAUCAGCCCCUGAGGCCUACACAAGAGCAGUGAUGUUUACUUUUGGUUUUUCUAAUUCCUCAGCUUUGGCACUUCUGCAGCUGUCUCCUCAGCAACUUCUGUGUUGCCAUCUGAUUCAACACGUGCACAAGGAACACUUGCAAAGGGAGCUGAGUCAUUCUCUAAAUCUGGAACAUCGUCCUUGGAACACAAAACCUUCCUCUGCAGGACUUAAGG